GCCAGAGAGGGUGAGAGCCCCGUAAGCGAAAUCCAAAGAAGGCCUAUCAGUAUCCUGAGUAGGGCGGGACACGUGAAAUCCCGUUUGAAUCCGCGAGGACCAUCUCGCAAGGCUAAAUACUAACCAGUGACCGAUAGUGAACCAGUACCGUGAGGGAAAGGUGAAAAGAACCCCGGGAGGGGAGUGAAAGAGAACCUGAAACCGUGUGCCUACAAGUAGUCAGAGCCCGUUAACGGGUAAUGGCGUGCCUUUUGUAGAAUGAACCGGCGAGUUGCGUUAGUCAGCAAGGUUAAGUCAGAAAAGACGGAGCCGCAGCGAAAGCGAGUCUGAAGAGGGCGAGCAGUUGGCUGACGCAGACCCGAAACCAAGUGACCUACCCAUGACCAGGUUGAAGGCGCGGUAAAACGCGCUGGAGGACCGAACCCACGUAAGUUGAAAAUUGCGGGGAUGAGUUGUGGGUAGCGGUGAAAUUCCAAACGAACUUGGAGAUAGCUGGUUCUCUCCGAAAUAGCUUUAGGGCUAGCCUCGCAAAGAGGAUGCUGGAGGUAGAGCUCUGUUUGGACUAGGGGCCCGUCAAGGGUUACUGAAUUCAGAUAAACUGCGAAUUCCAGACAUUUAUGUGCGGGAGUCAGACUGCGAGUGAUAAGAUCCGUAGUCGAAAGGGAAACAGCCCAGAUCACCAGUUAAGGUCCCAAAAUUCAUGCUAAGUGGAAAAGGAUGUGGAGUUGCGCAGACAACUAGGACGUUGGCUCAGAAGCAGCCAUCAUUCAAAGAGUGCGUAAUAGCUCACUAGUCGAGUGACGCCGCGCCGAAAAUUUACCGGGGCUAAGCAUGAUACCGAAACUGUGGAUGUGCAUUUAUGCACGUGGUAGGAGAGCGUUCUAGCGGCGGUGAAGCAUGACCGAGAGGACAUGUGGAGCUUCUAGAAGUGAGAAUGCCGGUAUGAGUAACGAAAGACAGGUGAGAAUCCUGUCCGCCGCAAGACUAAGGUUUCCUGGGGCAGGCUCGUCCGCCCAGGGUAAGUCGGGACCUAAGGCGAGGCCGAGAGGCGUAGUCGAUGGACAACAGGUUGAAAUUCCUGUACUGCACCGAAUCGUUAUGAGCGAUGGAGGGACGCAGGAGGCUAGCAGCGCGUGGUGCUGGAUACCACGUUCAAGCGUCAAGUCUGAGAGCGAGUCAAAUGCUUGCUUUCAUAAGGACAAGGCGUGAUGAGGAGCGAAAUUAAAGUAACGAAGGCUGCGACGUCACACUGCCGAGAAAAGCUUCUAGCCAGAAACGGUGCACCCGUACCGCAAACCCGACACAGGUAGUCGAGGAGAGUAUCCUCAGGUGAGCGAGAGAACUCUCGUUAAGGAACUCGGCAAAAUGGCCCCGUAACUUCGGGAGAAGGGGCGCUGGUCGCAAGAUCAGCCGCAGUGAAAAGGCCCAAGCAACUGUUUAUCAAAAACACAGGCAUCUGCAAAAUCGUAAGAUGAAGUAUAGGUGCUGACACCUGCCCGGUGCUGGAAGGUUAAGAGGAGAGCUUAGCGCAAGCGAAGGUUUGAAUUGAAGCCCCAGUAAACGGCGGCCGUAACUAUAACGGUCCUAAGGUAGCGAAAUUCCUUGUCGGGUAAGUUCCGACCUGCACGAAAGGUGUAAUGAUUUGGGCACUGUCUCAACGAGAGACUCGGUGAAAUUAUAAUACCCGUGAAGAUGCGGGUUACCCGCGACAGGACGGAAAGACCCCAUGGAGCUUUACUGCAGUUUAAUAUUGGGUAUCUGUCAAGCAUGUACAGGAUAGGUAGGAGCCGGAGAAGAUAGGACGCCAGUCUUAUCUGAGGCGCUGUUGGGAUACUACCCUUGCUUGACGGAUGCUCUAACUCAGGCCUGUGAUCCAGGCCGAGGACAGUGUUUGACGGGCAGUUUGACUGGGGCGGUCGCCUCCUAAAGUGUAACGGAGGCGCCCAAAGGUUCCCUCAGAAUGGUUGGAAAUCAUUCGCAGAGUGUAAAGGCAAAAGGGAGCUUGACUGCGAGAGAGACAACUCGAGCAGGUACGAAAGUAGGGCUUAGUGAUCUGGUGGUACCGCAUGGAAGGGCCAUCACUCAACGGAUAAAAGCUACCCUGGGGAUAACAGGCUUAUCUCCCCCAAGAGUUCACAUCGACGGGGAGGUUUGGCACCUCGAUGUCGGCUCGUCGCAUCCUGGGGCUGAAGUCGGUCCCAAGGGUUGGGCUGUUCGCCCAUUAAAGCGGCACGCGAGCUGGGUUCAGAACGUCGUGAGACAGUUCGGUCCCUAUCCGUCGUGGGCGCAGGAAAUUUGAGAGGAGCUGUCCUUAGUACGAGAGGACCGGGAUGGACGCACCGCUGGUGUACCAGUUGUCUUGCCAAAGGCAUCGCUGGGUAGCUAUGUGCGGACGGGAUAAGCGCUGAAAGCAUCUAAGUGCGAAGCCCCCCUCAAGAUGAGAUUUCCCAUUUCUUCAAGAAAGUAAGACACCUCAGAGACGAUGAGGUAGAUAGGCCGGGAGUGGAAGAGCCGUGAGGCUUGGAGCGGACCGGUACUAAUCAGUCGAGGACUUGACCAAA
RNAcentral lists this ribosomal RNA (2561 nucleotides) under Lactobacillus delbrueckii subsp. bulgaricus ND02. Its description in RNAcentral is "bacterial LSU rRNA". It matches the Rfam family "Bacterial large subunit ribosomal RNA", at positions 354 to 2925 of the family's 2925-position model. The record is from RNAcentral. Lineage: Bacteria; Bacillati; Bacillota; Bacilli; Lactobacillales; Lactobacillaceae.